UGGGGAAUAUUGCACAAUGGCGGGAACUCUGAUGCAGCGACGCCGCGUGAACGUAGAAGGCUUUCGAGUCGUCGAGUUCUUUUAUUUGGGAAGAUAAUCACGGUACCAUAAGAAAAAGCCCCGGCUAACUACGUGCCAGCAGCCGCGGUAAUACGUAGGGGGCUAGCGUUGUCCGGAAUCACGGGGCGUAAAGGGUUCGCAGACGGAAAUGCAAGUCAGGUGUAAAAGGCAGUAGCUUAACUACUGUAAGCAUUUGAAACUGCAUAUCUUGAGAAGAGUAGAGGUAAGUGGAAAUUUUAGUGUAGAGGUGAAAUGCGUAGAUAUUAAAAAGAAUACAAGGGGCGAAUGCGUCUUACUGAGAUCCUACUAACGCUGAGUAACGAAAGCGUGGGUAGCAAACAGG
Molecule: ribosomal RNA, 403 nt
Filed under: Fusobacteriota bacterium
Lineage: Bacteria; Fusobacteriati; Fusobacteriota
Description: Fusobacteria bacterium partial 16S ribosomal RNA
Rfam family: Bacterial small subunit ribosomal RNA
Source: RNAcentral